Pelobates cultripes (western spadefoot toad) is the source of this 586-nucleotide non-coding RNA. NCBI's taxonomy places the organism in Eukaryota, Metazoa, Chordata, Amphibia, Anura, Pelobatidae. The record is from the annotation of a GenBank genome assembly.
GUAACUACAAGCUAGGUUUCAAGAAGAAAGUAUAAACCACUGGUAAAAUAGUAAUUACACAAUGUGCUAGGUUAUCAGGAGUUAAAGCAGUUGUGGUUGUGUAACUUGCGAAGGAGACCACUGAUAUUUGGAAAGGUGUGUUUAUUUUAUUUAUUUUUAAAGACUCUGCAAACCUUGAAGGAGUCUCACACAAACAUAAGCAUAAAAUAAAGAAACUAACAAACUCAAAUAAUUUCUCUUUUUAGCAUUGACUCUUAUAGUGGCACAUGAGCUUUGAGUCCUCAAACCAGCUACUGUCAGCCACUGCAAGAGCAGGAACACAGAGGGUACCGGAGCAGAGCAGGCGGGACAGAUCCUCCUCCAGCCCCAGGCCUGUGUACAGGGUGGCAUCAGUAUACCACUGACUCGAGUGUUGUCAGGUUUUCAUAAUGUUGGUAUCCAAUUAGCAACAUUAUCACUUCUAUUUCCAAACUUGGAAUAGGGACUGACUGAUUUGUUAAAGGAAUACUAUAAUGUUGGCAAUGCAAACAUAUAUUCCUUACACUAUAGUGCCCUAGUCACCAUUUAGGUGACCAAGCCCCCAUGA